Amphimedon queenslandica is the source of this 1278-nucleotide long non-coding RNA. RefSeq lists it as uncharacterized. Lineage: Eukaryota; Metazoa; Porifera; Demospongiae; Haplosclerida; Niphatidae. The record is from RefSeq and is a predicted model, not a curated record. The transcript is spliced from 2 exons.
GAUUAUAAAGAUUACUCUGACCUGACUGAAGUGGAUUUGGCAGAGCAGGGAGAGUUGGGCGCCCGAAAAAACGUUUUAACCUGCCACAUCUGGCUCUCAAGGCCAGACUGCCGGUCCCUUCGGAGGGUCACAUGAGAAAAACCACACCUCUUACUAUAAUGACUAACACGCAUGAAUAAGCAACAAUAAUGGUAACAAAAACUAAAUAAUAACAAAUGUAGCCAAACCACAUAAACAAAAUUGGAGCAAAAGACCAUCUGAUGGCAACCUUAUAACAAGGGUCAAUGGGAGGGGAUCACGGGCAUUGGCCAAUCAUUCCAAUCGAGGUGCACCCCAGCGCUAGGCUACGGCUAUGGUUAGCUGGGUUCAGAUAUUUGUAUAUCUCCCAAAAACACACACACACACACACACACACACACACACACACACACACACACACACACACACACACACACACACACACACACUGACAGCACGAGCGCAGUACCCUCGCCUAUACGCCUACGGCGUGGGCGAGGGCAAUGACAGACACACACAACAACGGGCCUGCCUGAAAUACGGAUCCACGCGGAUCAAAUGCGGAUCAGGCUGAAAUGCGGAACGCUCGCGGAUCUGUAUUGAAGUACGGAACAACACGGAAACUAUACAGAUCUUUCUGCAAGAAUGAUAGCUAUGCAUCAGGAGAGAAAUUUAUCAGCUCUAUUUGAGUCUUUGAUAGGAACUUUAUCAUCCUUGCAGUUUCAGUACAUGCAGUUGAGAUCUACAGAUAAGCUGAUAUCCUCUUGAGCUAUUCUCUUCAACUUUUGUAAACAUGCAACCUUUGCCUGUGAUAAUAAGAAAACAGACUACUACUAGAUCUAACUACUGAGCAGUCAACACACUCAACAUUAGCUCAGUGUGCCUUCAUGCAGUCAAGAGACAAGUCAAGUUAUUUUAAAGUGCUAUCAUGGCUGUACCCCCCAAGUUCAACAUAGAUGGCAAAGUGGACCAUUGUCUGGGAAUUCCAGUCUUUGUUUUUUUACUUUAUCACUGUUAUUUUCUAAUUAUUAUUAUUCAUUCUGCAUGACUUAUAGAAUUAUUAUAUUUUUAAUCUUUAUUAUCAUUAUUCAGCUAACUACUAUUAUUAUUUAUUCAUUCCAUCAAUCAUUCACAGUCGUAGUCUCUUAAAAUUUUACUAUUAGCUAUUGUUACUGAUUCCUUUUGUUUAUUGAUUUAAUCUCAUUGUAUUUCCCAAUUUCAGUGUACUAUAUGCUUUGGUUUUAUAAUUGCAAAAUCUAA